AGAGUUUGAUCCUGGCUCAGAACGAACGCUGGCGGCAGGCUUAACACAUGCAAGUCGAACGCACCGCAAGGUGAGUGGCAGACGGGUGAGUAACGCGUGGGAACCUCCCCUGUGGUACGGAAUAGCUUCGGGAAACCGAAGCUAAUACCGUAUAUCUCCUCCGGGAGAAAGAUUUGUCGCCAUAGGAUGGGCCCGCGUUGGAUUAGCUAGUUGGUAGGGUAAUGGCCUACCAAGGCAACGAUCCAUAGCUGGUCUGAGAGGAUGAUCAGCCACAUUGGGACUGAGACACGGCCCAAACGUUUUCAAACGGCAGCAGUGAGGAAUUUUGGACAAUGGGCGAAAGCCUGAUCCAGCUAUAUUGCAUGGGUGAUGAAGGCUGUAUUGGCUGUAAAACCUUAAAUUUAAAUUUAGAUUAUGACAUUUUUUAAAUAAUAGUCCCGGCCAACUUCGUGCCAGCCGCCGCGGUAAUAC
RNAcentral lists this ribosomal RNA (471 nucleotides) under uncultured bacterium. RNAcentral describes it as "bacterial SSU rRNA". It matches the Rfam family "Bacterial small subunit ribosomal RNA", at positions 8 to 526 of the family's 1533-position model. The record is from RNAcentral.